GCCCCGGUAGCUCAGUGGGAGAGAUCUUGUAUAAGGUGAGCGAAAGCGCCUAGCAAUCUGUCAGGAGGUCGCAGGUUCGAAUCCUGCCCGAUUUU
Molecule: non-coding RNA, 95 nt
Organism: Meloidogyne enterolobii
Lineage: Eukaryota; Metazoa; Nematoda; Chromadorea; Rhabditida; Meloidogynidae
Source: the annotation of a GenBank genome assembly